Molecule: long non-coding RNA, 269 nt
Filed under: Gossypium barbadense (sea-island cotton)
Lineage: Eukaryota; Viridiplantae; Streptophyta; Magnoliopsida; Malvales; Malvaceae
Description: long non-coding RNA (GBAR_LNC007256)
Source: RNAcentral
AAUUAACAACAACUCCACAAUUUUGAGUUCUUCUCAUUCUCUCGCGAUACUUUGUAUGAAAUCUGUAUCCAUUGAUGAGAAAGGCACUAUAUCUUUUUAUUACUCUGUUCGGACCUUGGGAAAGCCACUUAACUUCGUCAUUGACGUCCUUUCCACUCCAAACUUAUUGAAUUGAAAGUAAAUUGAAUAAUUAACUAAAUUUCUUGAUUAUAUGUAACUUAUUAACUUUAGUUACAUACCGUUUGGCUUAACUAUUCAUGAAAAGAUUU